This 434-nucleotide ribosomal RNA is filed under the name uncultured bacterium. RNAcentral's name for it is "partial 16S ribosomal RNA". It matches the Rfam family "Bacterial small subunit ribosomal RNA", at positions 29 to 507 of the family's 1533-position model. The record is from RNAcentral.
AGCGAACGCUGGCGGCAGGCCUAACACAUGCAAGUCGAACGAACCUUUCGGGGUUAGUGGCGGACGGGUGAGUAACACGUGGGGACGUGCCUUUAGGUUCGGAAUAACUCAGGGAAACUUGUGCUAAUACCGAAUGUGCCCUUCGGGGGAAAGAUUUAUCGCCUUUAGAGCGGCCCGCGUCUGAUUAGCUAGUUGGUUGAGGUAAUGGCUCACCAAGGCGACGAUCAGUAGCUGGUCUGAGAGGAUGAUCAGCCACAUUGGGACUGAGACACGGCCCAAACUCCUACGGGAAGCAGCAGUGGGGAAUCUUGCGCAAUGGGCGAAAGCCUGACGCAGCCAUGCCGCGUGAAUGAUGAAGGUCUUAGGAUUGUAAAAUUCUUUCACCGGGGACGAUAAUGACGGUACCCGGAGAAGAAGCCCCGGCUAACUUCGUG